GCCGGAGUGGCGGAACUGGUAGACGCACUGGACUCAAAAUCCAGCGGGACUCUAAUCCCGUGUCGGUUCGACUCCGACCUCCGGCA
Molecule: transfer RNA, 86 nt
Filed under: Chloroflexota bacterium
Lineage: Bacteria; Bacillati; Chloroflexota
Description: Chloroflexi bacterium (aquatic metagenome) tRNA-Leu
Rfam family: tRNA
About the family: Transfer RNA (tRNA) molecules are approximately 80 nucleotides in length. Their secondary structure includes four short double-helical elements and three loops (D, anti-codon, and T loops).
Source: RNAcentral